AGUGAACGCUGGCGGUAGGCCUAACACAUGCAAGUCGAACGGCAGCACAGGAGAGCUUGCCCUCUGGGUGGCGAGUGGCGGACGGGUGAGGAAUACAUCGGAAUCUACUCUGUCGUGGGGGAUAACGUAGGGAAACUUACGCUAAUACCGCAUACGACCUACGGGUGAAAGCAGGGGACCUUCGGGCCUUGCGCGAUUGAAUGAGCCGAUGUCGGAUUAGCUAGUUGGCGGGGUAAAGGCCCACCAAGGCGACGAUUCGUAGCUGGUCUGAGAGGAUGAUCAGCCACACUGGAACUGAGACACGGUCCAGACUCCUACGGGAGGCAGCAGUGGGGAAUAUUGGACAAUGGGCGCAAGCCUGAUCCAGCCAUACCGCGUGGGUGUAGAAGGCCUUCGGGUUGUAAAGCCCUUUUGUUGGGAAAGAAAUCCAGCUGGCUAAUACCCGAUUGGGAUGACGGUACCCAAAGAAUAAGCACCGGCUAACUUCGUGCCAGCAGCCGCCGUAA
Molecule: ribosomal RNA, 506 nt
Filed under: uncultured bacterium
Lineage: Bacteria
Description: partial 16S ribosomal RNA
Rfam family: Bacterial small subunit ribosomal RNA
Source: RNAcentral